ACUCCUACGGGAGGCAGCAGUGGGGAAUAUUGCACAAUGGGGGAAACCCUGAUGCAGCCAUGCCGCGUGUGUGAAGAAGGCCUUCGGGUUGUAAAGCACUUUCAGCGAGGAGGAAAGGUUGGUAGCUAAUAACUGCCAGCUGUGACGUUACUCGCARAAGAAGCACCGGCUAACUCCGUGCCAGCAGCCGCGGUAAUACGGAGGGUGCAAGCGUUAAUCGGAAUUACUGGGCGUAAAGCGCACGCAGGCGGUUGGAUAAGUUAGAUGUGAAAGCCCCGGGCUCAACCUGGGAAUUGCAUUUAAAACUGUCCAGCUAGAGUCUUGUAGAGGGGGGUAGAAUUCCAGGUGUAGCGGUGAAAUGCGUAGAGAUCUGGAGGAAUACCGGUGGC
Molecule: ribosomal RNA, 389 nt
Filed under: Aeromonas sp.
Lineage: Bacteria; Pseudomonadati; Pseudomonadota; Gammaproteobacteria; Aeromonadales; Aeromonadaceae
Description: bacterial SSU rRNA
Rfam family: Bacterial small subunit ribosomal RNA
Source: RNAcentral